This 429-nucleotide ribosomal RNA is filed under the name Bacteroidota bacterium. RNAcentral describes it as "Bacteroidetes bacterium partial 16S ribosomal RNA". It matches the Rfam family "Bacterial small subunit ribosomal RNA", at positions 355 to 776 of the family's 1533-position model. Lineage: Bacteria; Pseudomonadati; Bacteroidota. The record is from RNAcentral. RNAcentral also lists the same sequence under 1 other name.
UAGGGAAUCUUCGGCAAUGGGGGGAACCCUGACCGAGCAACGCCGCGUGAGUGAAGAAGGUUUUCGGAUCGUAAAGCUCUGUUGUUAAGGAAGAACGAGUGUGAGAAUGGAAAGUUCAUGCUGUGACGGUACUUAACCAGAAAGGGACGGCUAACUACGUGCCAGCAGCCGCGGUAAUACGUAGGUCCCGAGCGUUGUCCGGAUUUAUUGGGCGUAAAGCGAGCGCAGGCGGUUAGAAAAGUCUGAAGUGAAAGGCAGUGGCUCAACCAUUGUAGGCUUUGGAAACUGUUUAACUUGAGUGCAGGAGGGGAGAGUGGAAUUCCAUGUGUAGCGGUGAAAUGCGUAGAUAUAUGGAGGAACACCGGUGGCGAAAGCGGCUCUCUGGUCUGUAACUGACGCUGAGGCUCGAAAGCGUGGGGAGCGAACAGG